RNAcentral lists this ribosomal RNA (468 nucleotides) under uncultured bacterium. Its description in RNAcentral is "partial 16S ribosomal RNA". It matches the Rfam family "Bacterial small subunit ribosomal RNA", at positions 28 to 507 of the family's 1533-position model. The record is from RNAcentral.
GACGAACGCUGGCGGCGUGCUUAACACAUGCAAGUCGAACGGAAAGGCCCUGCUUUUGUGGGGUGCUCGAGUGGCGAACGGGUGAGUAACACGUGAGUAACCUGCCCUUGACUUUGGGAUAACUUCAGGAAACUGGGGCUAAUACCGGAUAGGAGCUCCUGCUGCAUGGUGGGGGUUGGAAAGUUUCGGCGGUUGGGGAUGGACUCGCGGCUUAUCAGCUUGUUGGUGGGGUAGUGGCUUACCAAGGCUUUGACGGGUAGCCGGCCUGAGAGGGUGACCGGCCACAUUGGGACUGAGAUACGGCCCAGACUCCUACGGGAGGCAGCAGUGGGGAAUAUGGCACAAUGGGCGGAAGCCUGAUGCAGCAACGCCGCGUGCGUGAUGACGGCCUUCGGGUUGUAAACCGCUUUCGCCUGUGACGAAGCGUGAGUGACGGUAAUGGGUAAAGAAGCACCGGCUAACUACGUG